Molecule: ribosomal RNA, 256 nt
Filed under: uncultured bacterium
Lineage: Bacteria
Description: partial 16S ribosomal RNA
Rfam family: Bacterial small subunit ribosomal RNA
Source: RNAcentral
UACGUAGGGCGCAAGCGUUAUCCGGAAUUAUUGGGCGUAAAGAGCUCGUAGGCGGUUUGUCGCGUCUGCCGUGAAAGUCCGGGGCUCAACUCCGGGAUCUGCGGUGGGUACGGGCAGACUAGAGUGAUGUAGGGGAGACUGGAAUUCCUGGUGUAGCGGUGAAAUGCGCAGAUAUCAGGAGGAACACCGAUGGCGAAGGCAGGUCUCUGGGCAUUAACUGACGCUGAGGAGCGAAAAGCAUGGGGGAGCGAACAGG